CAGCCACCACGCGGGAAACCGGGGAACACCCGAGAGAGGUUUUCCUCGCUCAGAUGAACGCUGGCGGCAGGCUAACACAUGCAAGUCGAGCGGUAGCACAGAGAGCUUGCUCUCGGGUGACGAGCGGCGGACGGGUGAGUAAUGUCUGGGAAACUGCCUGAUGGAGGGGGAUAACUACUGGAAACGGUAGCUAAUACCGCAUAACGUCGCAAGACCAAAGUGGGGGACCUUCGGGCCUCAUGCCAUCAGAUGUGCCCAGAUGGGAUUAGCUAGUAGGUGGGGUAAUGGCUCACCUAGGCGACGAUCCCUAGCUGGUCUGAGAGGAUGACCAGCCACACUGGAACUGAGACACGGUCCAGACUCCUACGGGAGGCAGCAGUGGGGAAUAUUGCACAAUGGGCGCAAGCCUGAUGCAGCCAUGCCGCGUGUAUGAAGAAGGCCUUCGGGUUGUAAAGUACUUUCAGCGAGGAGGAAGGCAUUAAGGUUAAUAACCUUAGUGAUUGACGUUACUCGCAGAAGAAGCACCGGCUAACUCCGUGCCAGCAGCCGCGGUAAUACGGAGGGUGCAAGCGUUAAUCGGAAUUACUGGGCGUAAAGCGCACGCAGGCGGUCUGUUAAGUCAGAUGUGAAAUCCCCGGGCUCAACCUGGGAACUGCAUUUGAAACUGGCAGGCUUGAGUCUUGUAGAGGGGGGUAGAAUUCCAGGUGUAGCGGUGAAAUGCGUAGAGAUCUGGAGGAAUACCGGUGGCGAAGGCGGCCCCCUGGACAAAGACUGACGCUCAG
Molecule: ribosomal RNA, 782 nt
Filed under: Klebsiella aerogenes
Lineage: Bacteria; Pseudomonadati; Pseudomonadota; Gammaproteobacteria; Enterobacterales; Enterobacteriaceae
Description: bacterial SSU rRNA
Rfam family: Bacterial small subunit ribosomal RNA
Source: RNAcentral